CGAGCAAAUGAAUGUUGCAAUUUUUCUUGUAAAAAUGAUGAUGAUGAUUUUGAGGGGGCACUUGACAUCAUGGUCAUCAGCGCCCUGACGAAAGUCAACAUCUUGAAAAAAUGUACAUUAGGCCCAAGACACCAGAGAGCUUCUGCAGUGGGGAUUGCAACCUCUGUUAGCAUGUCUUUCCAGAGGCUAGUUCGGAGCUCACAGAUUCUGGCUGUACAUAAUUUGAGCCACAAGCAAUUUUGUAACAACUGCAAAUUGUAAUACAAGGCUCUACAAGAUCUAGUGUGUCUAGAAAUAAUACCCUCAUGCUCACCCAUGUUGGGGCCUGAGAGAGCACUGAAAUGAUGCAGAUUAAGCAUGGGAACAGAUGAGACUAUGAAUUUGUCUAAUGCUGAAUUAUGAGACUAGCAUUACUAUACCAGUUACAUAUCCUGAGGAGGUAGCAGCAGAAAUUGAUACAACAAACUUAAGAAAAGCAAUAGCUUGAACUGUGUAAUGUCAGAGUAAAUCACAUUUUUUUAAUUAAAAAUUAUUUUUUAAAUAAAAUGUUCAUUAUAUUCUUCACUUACUUAUUUCCAUAUGUCCUUAAAGAAAAUAUUCAGUAAAAAUUUCUGUUAAAGUGAAAAAAUAAGAGUAACAUAUUUCAGUUCAAAAUGUUAAAGAUUAAAAAUAUCUGCACCUA
This is a long non-coding RNA of Schistocerca piceifrons (Central American locust), 682 nucleotides long. RefSeq lists it as uncharacterized. The transcript is spliced from 2 exons. The record is from RefSeq and is a predicted model, not a curated record. Lineage: Eukaryota; Metazoa; Arthropoda; Insecta; Orthoptera; Acrididae.